UCCAAACACUCAGUCACACACACACACACACACACAGAGGGAACUCAGGGGUUAUAGUCACCGCUGCAGAACCCCGGCUCCUGCCUCCUCUCAUCUUUUCCCCCUUUUUUCCUUACGCCCCCUUUCUCUUCUCUGAGGCAGAUAAAGACGGCGUUCCUGGUCUGUAUCGGAUCCACACUAUGGGUGAUUUGAUCACUUUGUCAGCCCUGAUCCAGACUGACUGGACAGUGUCCAGCCAGCGGCUCCAACUCUCAGGAUCUGAAACCCGUAGCAGUAAAACUAAAAAAAAAGACCACCUGGUUAUGAUUGGAGUGUGCAAUUCCUUUAUGUCCUACUUUGACGAACUGCGGCGACAUGAAAGGUUACAAAUUCCAGCUGAAAACUGCCUUCCGUUGCGCGACCGACUUUUAUCCGGAGCCGGUGUUACACACAGGGACCACCCACACACUCGGCUCACACAGGAUGUUGAAGAGUCAGUUUGACUGCAUUUUUUGUGCAUGUAUGUUGUUGUUGGUAAAUUUACAGUGCCGUCCAAUCCCACGCGCUGGAGUUCCGGACUGCCUGUUACAGGCAUUCGAUGCAGAGCGGCGCCAGUGUUGAACUGAUGCGAACAGCUACAAUGUUACUUGUUAUCGUGCAUCCACUUUGAUAUGCGGGGAACUUCGCCGAGGCUUCAAACUUCGACGAUUUGUCCCUCGGGUGCAACUUUUUGGGAAAUCGGAAGGGGGGAAAAAUCCCUGGUUCGACAGAUGUCUUAUUUUGGAAGUACUACUUUCUACAUAAUACAUUUUUAAUGUCGCGGUAAAAAAAAGAUUUUGAUCAAUUUUUGAUGCGUCACGACUGUCUUUAUGCUGCGA
Long non-coding RNA from Stegostoma tigrinum, 857 nucleotides. RefSeq lists it as uncharacterized. The record is from RefSeq and is a predicted model, not a curated record. The transcript is spliced from 3 exons. Lineage: Eukaryota; Metazoa; Chordata; Chondrichthyes; Orectolobiformes; Stegostomatidae.